RNAcentral lists this transfer RNA (72 nucleotides) under Minisyncoccota bacterium. Its description in RNAcentral is "tRNA-Arg". It matches the Rfam family "tRNA". Rfam says of the family: Transfer RNA (tRNA) molecules are approximately 80 nucleotides in length. Their secondary structure includes four short double-helical elements and three loops (D, anti-codon, and T loops). The record is from RNAcentral. Lineage: Bacteria; Bacillati; Minisyncoccota.
GCCUUCAUAGUUUAAUGGAUAAAACAACUCCGUCCUAAGGAGAAACUCUUGGUUCGAUUCCAGGUGAGGGCA